This 1134-nucleotide ribosomal RNA is filed under the name Triticum aestivum (bread wheat). Its description in RNAcentral is "partial small subunit ribosomal RNA". The record is from RNAcentral. Lineage: Eukaryota; Viridiplantae; Streptophyta; Magnoliopsida; Poales; Poaceae.
AUGGCGGCGAUCGCCACCCAUGUGCACCAUCCACCGGCAGCCCUCUCACGCUGCGGACCGCCGUCCAACCCCUUCCUCCGCUUCGCCCCCUCGCCGUCGAUCCUCCUCCGGUCCCGCGCAGCGGCGACGCCUCCGCUGGCUCCCAUCGGCGCGCGCAGCAACAACGACGACCCCAUCUCCUACCCAGAGCCCCGUAAAACCUCGCUCGGUCUCUCCCCCCUGCUCGUCGCCGUGGCAGCGGCGGCGACCCCGCAGGCCGCGCUGGCCCUGUCCGGCGGCUCCUGCGGCGGGUGUGACGACUCCUCCAGUUCGUCGUCCUCCUCCUCUUCCUCUUCCUCGUCCUCGUCCUGCGAUGACUCCACUACCGACUCCAUAGAUUGGUCAUCCACGUCCUUCUCCUCUAAGCCGAAGAAGAAGGAGGGGGCCGAGGCGACUCACGAGUCAGUCGGCACUCCGGCGGCUCCUCCGUUUGGCUUGAGCUCUGACCAGUGGUUCUGGGGCACCUUCGCCUUGGGAUCCGCCGGCGUCGUUGCCUUAUUCGUCGCCCUGCAGAAACUGCUGGGCGAGAAGACCGCCGUUGUUAAGCUCCAGGUUGCGCUGCGUGAUACGGCGAUGGUAAAAUCACUCCAAAAGGAUCUGAAUUCCAUUGCUGAGAGGGUGGAGGGUUCGAACCGAUGGUGGUACAAGUUCAUAUUGACCGAGACCAUGUAUUCCUUACGCCGUCACCAGCAUUGCUGCAUCUCUUCAUGCUUAUCAGUUGUCACAACAAACAUAGAGGGUUCUUGGAAGGAGCAUUUUGACAGGAUUUCUGCGGAGGAGAGGAGCAAAUUUGAUGAAGAAACACUUUCGAACUCGAACGGGGUCAAACAAAAGAAAACCUACUCCAUGAAAACAGAUGGCAGCAGAAACGAGUACAUAGUGGUAACCAUUCUCGUUGCUGCUAAUGGAACAAUAAAUCUCCCCGUGGCGAUCAAAAGCCCUGCAGAUCUGGAAGAGGUAGUGGCAAGGCUCAACUCUACGCCUGCAAGUGAACUUCGGGGUGUUCGAGUCAUGUGGACCCCUCAAGAUGCGGAUGACGUUCUCUCAGAAGAGAGGAUGCGGAAGGAUUACCCAUACCUGAAGCCCAUUGCGUGA